This is a long non-coding RNA of Carlito syrichta (Philippine tarsier), 298 nucleotides long. RefSeq lists it as uncharacterized. The record is from RefSeq and is a predicted model, not a curated record. The transcript has 3 exons. Lineage: Eukaryota; Metazoa; Chordata; Mammalia; Primates; Tarsiidae.
GGCAUACGAUGGGUGCUCAAAACAUACUUGCUAAAAGAACGAGUGACUGAAGGGCCGUGGGAAUGAAUGAGCACACAGCAUCCCCUGCAACAGACUUCUUCCAGAGAGGUUCUGGUAGAGUCUUAACAUUAAGCUGUUAAACUACUGAGCAAGUGACUUUUCCUGAGUGACCGAACUGGGUCCUUUGUCUUGGAAAGCAUCCCACAGUCUGGAUUUUGCAGAUUGCAUCCAUGAAAUGCCCAUAGAAACCACCAUUCUACUUCUACUUCUGUGAGUUCGAUCGUUUUAGAUGCUUCAU